UGCGAAUGGCUCAUUAAAUCAGUUAUCGUUUAUUUGAUAGUACCUUACUACUUGGAUAACCGUGGUAAUUCUAGAGCUAAUACAUGCUAAAAACCCCGACUUCGGAAGGGGUGUAUUUAUUAGAUAAAAAACCAAUGCCCUUCGGGGCUCCUUGGUGAUUCAUAAUAACUUAACGAAUCGCAUAGCCUUGUGCUGGCGAUGGUUCAUUCAAAUUUCUGCCCUAUCAACUUUCGAUUGUAUGGUAUUGGCUUACAAUGGUCAGGCGCGCAAAUUACCCAAUCCCGACACGGGGAGGUAGUGACAAUAAAUACUGAUACAGGGCUCUUUUGGGUCUUGUAAUUGGAAUGAGUACAAUUUAAAUCCCUUAACGAGGAACAAUUGGAGGGCAAGUCUGGUGCCAGCAGCCGCGGUAAUUCCAGCUCCAAUAGCGUAUAUUAAAGUUGUUGCAGUUAAAAAGCUCGUAGUUGAACCUUGGGUUUGGUUGGUCGGUCCGCCUCACCGCGUGCACUGAUCCGACCGAAUCUUUCCUUCUGGGGAACCGUAUGCCCUUCACUGGGUGUGCUGGGGAACCAGGACUUUUACUUUGAAAAAAUUAGAGUGUUCAAAGCAGGCCUAUGCUCGAAUACAUUAGCAUGGAAUAAUAGAAUAGGACGUGUGGUUCUAUUUUGUUGGUUUCUAGGACCGCCGUAAUGAUUAAUAGGGAUAGUCGGGGGCAUCAGUAUUCAAUUGUCAGAGGUGAAAUUCUUGGAUUUAUUGAAGACUAACUACUGCGAAAGCAUUUGCCAAGGAUGUUUUCAUUAAUCAGUGAACGAAAGUUAGGGGAUCGAAGACGAUCAGAUACCGUCGUAGUCUUAACCAUAAACUAUGCCGACUAGGGAUCGGGCGGUGUUAUCUUUUUGACCCGCUCGGCACCUUACGAGAAAUCAAAGUC
This 931-nucleotide ribosomal RNA is filed under the name Natara olivacea. RNAcentral describes it as "SSU rRNA". It matches the Rfam family "Eukaryotic small subunit ribosomal RNA", at positions 88 to 1105 of the family's 1831-position model. The record is from RNAcentral. Lineage: Eukaryota; Fungi; Ascomycota; Leotiomycetes; Helotiales.